RNAcentral lists this ribosomal RNA (445 nucleotides) under uncultured bacterium. RNAcentral's name for it is "partial 16S ribosomal RNA". It matches the Rfam family "Bacterial small subunit ribosomal RNA", at positions 354 to 796 of the family's 1533-position model. The record is from RNAcentral.
GUGAGGAAUAUUGGUCAAUGGGCGGGAGCCUGAACCAGCCAAGUCGCGUGAAGGAAGAAGGAUCUAUGGUUCGUAAACUUCUUUUGCAGGGGAAUAAAGUGCAGGACGUGUCCUGUUUUGUAUGUACCCUGAGAAUAAGGAUCGGCUAACUCCGUGCCAGCAGCCGCGGUAAUACGGAGGAUCCGAGCGUUAUCCGGAUUUAUUGGGUUUAAAGGGUGCGUAGGUGGUUUGAUAAGUCAGCGGUGAAAGUUUGCAGCUUAACUGUAAAAAUGCCGUUGAAACUGUCGGACUUGAGUGUAAAUGAGGUAGGCGGAAUGUGUGGUGUAGCGGUGAAAUGCAUAGAUAUCACGCAGAACUCCGAUUGCGAAGGCAGCUUACUAAGCUACAACUGACACUGAAGCACGAAAGCGUGGGGAUCAAACAGGAUUAGAUACCCCUGUAGUCC